This 592-nucleotide ribosomal RNA is filed under the name uncultured bacterium. RNAcentral describes it as "partial 23S ribosomal RNA". The stretch from base 1 to 232 matches the Rfam family "Archaeal large subunit ribosomal RNA", at positions 324 to 548 of the family's 2987-position model. The record is from RNAcentral.
UUCCCAAUCCGUCUGGAAGGGCGGAGGCACGGAGGGCGAUUCCCCGUACGUGCUCGGUCCGUCCCCGACGAGCGAACGCAUCGGAGGAGUCGGGCCGCUUGAGAGUGCAGCCCGAAUGGGGGUGAUAGGUCUCAUCCAAGGCUAAGUACGUGGGAGACGCCGAUAGCGAACAAGUACGGCGACGGAAAGGUGAAAAGAACCUCGAAAGGGGGGUCAAAAGCGCUCGAAAUCGUAGAGGGGGAAGCGGACCUGACCGACGAGACCUCGUCGUCGCUCGCGCUCGACCCACGCUUCGUCGCGGAGUUCCGGAGGGCUCGCCCCCCGGAGCCGCGGCGCGGCGGGGUCGGGAGGCGCUCGGCGGCGGGCCGCUUGCGCGGGACCGGCGUCGCGCCGAACGAGAGGUCGCCUCGGCUCGCCCGAAAGGACGCGCCGGGGGCCGCCCGGAGGCGCGGCGUCGGCCCGAGGGAGAAGGAGAUCGCAUCGCGGGGCAACGGGUCGAACCCGAGGGGCCCGUCGCCGUUCCCGAGCCGCGAGGCUCGGAGCGGAGGCGGGCUCCCCCGGCGAGGCUCGACCCCCAGGUUUUCGAAUGGCG